UUUUUUUCCUUAGAAAACUUUAUUGAUAAACGGAUGUUUUGAACAUAAAAGGUCCUGAAGAUCUUCUUCUAUGCAGACGAUUCUGUUCUGUCCCUCACAGCUUCAGGAAGGAUGGAACCUCCACUCCUGAGUCUGAACUUCAUCCCAGAACCUCUACAUUAAGGAGGUGGUGGUUCUUCUCCUGGGGAGACCAAAGGGUCCUGAUCAGGUGGAGCAUCCUCACACCCCUGCUGACCCUCUAUCUGUCAUCGGAUUCGAGCCGCUGUCACUGAUCCAUCACUAAGCAGCACAGCAGACGCACUUACGCCUCCUGCAGGUUGGUUCUGCCCCCUGCUGGUUCCCCCAGGCCUGUGAAGGAUGAACUUCAACAACUGGGAUGAACAUUUGGAAACCUUAAGUAAGAACCGGAUCCUCACCACAGCUCUGACUCCUGCCACCUCCUGGUUCUCACUGGUUCUCCUGCUGGAAGGGCCCCUGCAGACGGGUGGGAGGCCUUCCUGAGGGGGUCUCCUCCGUGUCAUGAUGGACUCCAUGCAGGCGUGGAACCGUCUCCAGGAGGAGCGGCAGGAACCAGCAGCAUGUGGGGUAAACAGGAGUCCCAGCAGAGGAAACAAAGCACCAGGAGAUCCUUCUGCUGUGGUAGAAAAUCCUCUGCAGCAGCUGGUUGCUCUGCUGAAGUUCCUGACGAUCGUCUGGUUCUGCGCUCGGUUCUAGUGGACCCUGGUUGAUGUGACUGUGCCAUAACGGUGGGUUCUCCAGCAGCUCAGGUGUUCCAGGAGGCUGCGGGACGUCCCAGGUGGAAACUUUUGUUCUUGUUUUGGGUCAAAAGAAUGAAAAUGUGGAAACUCUCCGUUUGUGAAGGUCCUGAGAAAGUCAUCAGAUCUGCAUGAAUCUGCAGGAAUCGGCCGCCCCCCCCUCUGUGUGGGGCCGUACCCCCACACAGAGGGGGGGGCGGCCCCUCAGAGGGGGCUUUGUGCGGCGCAUAGAGCUCCACUGUUCAACACCUCUGAGAAAUAUUGACUCUAAUGGUAAAAACCAGCAGCUCAGCCGUUUAGAGACGACUGUGUUGAUCUUUGGAGGUUAGCAGGUACUGACCCCCCCCCAUAUUAUAUACAGAGUAUUUUCAGAGGGCGGGGGUCACAGUGACCCCUGAAAUAAUUUUAAAAAACAGGGAGGGGGAGUUAGAAAAGCUUAACCAAUUAUUUAAAGAAGCAGAUGUUGAAUCUUUUUCACAGUUAAAGGAACAGUUCUGACUCCCGUCCAAUGAUCUUCACAGAUUAGACAUUAUAUCAGAAAGAAAAACUUUAAUGAGUAAAAUGCCCAACGCAAUUGAAGAAUACUUUAUAAGUAUUCAGGACAAAGAUUUACCACAUAAGAAACAUGUUUCUAAUACCUAUAAGAGACUUGUGAUGAGGAACACAUUGUCUGUCAAAGAAAAGUGGGAGCUGGAACUAAACACUAUUAUAGAAGGUGAUGUGUGGGAAGAUCUGUGUGCAACAAGCCAGAAAGGACCUAACAGUCAAAUGUGGAAAGAAAUGAAUGAGGAGAUAUUCCAACACCCCUCUGGUCGUCUCUAGACUUCUGAAAUCACCCUCAUUGCAACUCUGCUGGAGAAAAUGUGGAAAGUGGGAGACCUGACUCACGUUUUCUGGGACUGCCCUGUAAUCCAGAACUACUGGAGGAGUAUAAAGACAGAAACAGAAAGGAUGUUACAGAGAUCCCUGUUGAACCUCUAUUAUUUCUACUAGGAUUUACUAAAAAAGCAGAGUUACAUUUGGAACAGUCAACAUCUCAAAGAUACUCCUUCUAAUAGCCAGAAAAUGAUUACAAUAAACUGGAAAAAGGAAGAGGCUCCAACAAAAGAUGGAUACAAAAACUCAAACAAGUAUAUUUAAUGGAGCGAAUGACGGCAUGAAAAUGGAAGAAUUUACCCAAAGAUGGGCUUGUGUUGCCAAAUACAUCAGAGACUAAAAUGUAAAGGUUGCACUGUAGAGGAUCCUAGUUAAUUGAAUUUUACGGAAUUUGUUUAUCUUACUUUUCUUGUAACUAUGAUUGUUGUGUAAUUUUGUUUAGUGUGAAGAAGCCAUCUUUAUGUGUAAUAAUACCUCUGCUCACGCUGUACCCAUGUGUGAUGUUCUACCAAGGAACAAAAACUCAAUA
This is a non-coding RNA of Oryzias latipes (Japanese medaka), 2160 nucleotides long. The record is from RefSeq and is a predicted model, not a curated record. Lineage: Eukaryota; Metazoa; Chordata; Actinopteri; Beloniformes; Adrianichthyidae.